Molecule: long non-coding RNA, 1229 nt
Organism: Cavia porcellus (domestic guinea pig)
Lineage: Eukaryota; Metazoa; Chordata; Mammalia; Rodentia; Caviidae
Exons: 2
Source: RefSeq, a predicted model, not a curated record
UUUACUUAUUUAUUUAUUUUUCGAGACAAGAUCUUGCUGUGUAGUUCAGGCUAGCCUUGAACUCAUGAUGAUCCUCAUGCCUCAGCCUCCCACGUGCUGGAAUUCAGGCCUAAAGCAGAUGAAGAUGCUAAGUGACAAACAUCUAGAUCCCCGGACACCAGCUGGACAGGUUAGGUUCUACUGUGGCUGGAAGGGCCUGUUAGGGCCAGGCCCCAGGGGACCGGAAGACACAAACAGGGAAGCUUUGACCUACUCCCAGCGACAAUGGGAAGCUCCGGAGUGACAUGAACAGAUUUGUGCCUCAGCCAUGCUGGUGGCUGCACAGAGGAUUCAGGAGCUUCAGGACUGAAGGAGGAAGCAGUUACUACUGAUGCAGCAUCUGGACGAGAGUGCUAAGCAGGGCAGCUCCCUGAGGUCCAGGGAGAUAACAUGUCCGAGACCACUGGACCUGCAUGGGGAGGAGGAAGGGCGGUUUACGAUGGCCCUGGUUUCUGGCGUAGGUAGCAGUUACAUACACAAGGGCAGGAAUAAUGGAGGAAGUGCAGGAUUUGAGGGUAGGGGACACACUUGGUCACUCACAUGAUGAGCAGGAGGCAGCUGUCACCCUCUUGGAGAUAUCUGCUCCUUAGAUCUGGUGACAUGGAAUUCAGGGUGCAGGGCUUGAGAAAUGGAGUUGAGAGUCCCAGGGUCCACAAGAUAGUAGCAGGCACAGGUGACCUCAUCCAUGCUUUUUUUCAAUAAAAUAACGUACAUUUCGUACUGUAGUAAGAUUCAUCUAAGAAUCACCAUACUAGCUUAUGUGAUGGUGCAUGCCUGUAAUCCCAGCACUCCGGGAGGCUGAAGCAGGAGGACCACAAGUAUGAGCUCAACCUGGGCAAGUUAAUUACUUAGUAAGAACUUGUCUUAAAAAAAAAAAGUUCGGGGUGGGGGCUAGAAAUAUAUCUCAUUGAAGGCCCAGGUUCAAUCUCCAGUACUGAAAAAACACAAUCAAUCACCAUAUGCAGUCUUAAAAGUACACAGCUCAGUAGCAUUUAGUAUAUACUUAGUGUUUUACAGUUAUCACUCCUGUCUAGUUCUUGAAUAUCUUCACCACUCCAACAGGAAAUUGUGUAAGACUUCACCUCCCCAUCCCUCGCUCAGCCCUAGCAACCACGGAUCUGUUUCUGUCUGUACCGAUUUGCUAAUCCAGACAUCUGGUGUAAAUGGGAUGAUAUAAUGUGUGGCCUCGG